GAUGAACGCUGGCGGCGUGCCUAAUACAUGCAAGUCGAGCGAACAGACGAGGAGCUUGCUCCUCUGACGUUAGCGGCGGACGGGUGAGUAACACGUGGAUAACCUACCUAUAAGACUGGGAUAACUUCGGGAAACCGGAGCUAAUACCGGAUAAUAUAUUGAACCGCAUGGUUCAAUAGUGAAAGACGGUUUUGCUGUCACUUGUAGAUGGAUCCGCGCCGCAUUAGCUAGUUGGUAAGGUAACGGCUUACCAAGGCAACGAUGCGUAGCCGACCUGAGAGGGUGAUCGGCCACACUGGAACUGAGACACGGUCCAGACUCCUACGGGAGGCAGCAGUAGGGAAUCUUCCGCAAUGGGCGAAAGCCUGACGGAGCAACGCCGCGUGAGUGAUGAAGGUCUUCGGAUCGUAAAACUCUGUUAUUAGGGAAGAACAAAUGUGUAAGUAACUAUGCACGCCUUGACGGUACCUAAUCAGAAAGCCACGGCUAACUACGUG
Molecule: ribosomal RNA, 497 nt
Filed under: uncultured bacterium
Lineage: Bacteria
Description: partial 16S ribosomal RNA
Rfam family: Bacterial small subunit ribosomal RNA
Source: RNAcentral